Molecule: ribosomal RNA, 374 nt
Filed under: uncultured organism
Description: partial 16S ribosomal RNA
Rfam family: Bacterial small subunit ribosomal RNA
Source: RNAcentral
GUAGGUGGCAAGCGUUGUCCGGAAUUAUUGGGCGUAAAGCGCGCGCAGGCGGUUCGUUUAAGUCUGAUGUGAAAGCCCACGGGCUCAACCGUAGAGGGUCAUUGGAAACUGGAGAACUUGAGUACAGAAGAGGAAAGCGGAAUUCCACGUGUAGCGGUGAAAUGCGUAGAGAUGUGGAGGAACACCAGUGGCGAAGGCGGCUUUCUGGUCUGUAACUGACGCUGAGGCGCGAAAGCGUGGGGAGCAAACAGGAUUAGAUACCCUGGUAGUCCACGCCGUAAACGAUGAGUGCUAAGUGUUAGGGGGUUUCCGCCCCUUAGUGCUGCAGCUAACGCAUUAAGCACUCCGCCUGGGGAGUACGGCCGCAAAGGCUG